GAUGAAGAACGUAGCGAAAUGCGAUAAGUAGUGUGAAUUGCAGAAUUCAGUGAAUCAUCGAAUCUUUGAACGCACAUUGCGCCCGCCAGUAUUCUGGCGGGCAUGCCUGUUCGAGCGUCAUUUCAACCAUCAAGCCCCCGGCUUGUGUUGGGGACCUGCGGCUGCCGCAGGCCCUGAAAAGCAGUGGCGGGCUCGCUGUCACACCGAGCGUAGUAGCAUACAUCUCGCUCUGGGCGUGCUGCGGGUUCCGGCCGUUAAACCACCUUCAUAACCCAAGGUUGACCUCGGAUCAGGUAGGAAGACCCGCUGAACUUAAGCAUAUCAAUAAGCGGGGA
RNAcentral lists this unclassified non-coding RNA (335 nucleotides) under soil metagenome. RNAcentral's name for it is "partial contains 5.8S ribosomal RNA, internal transcribed spacer 2, and large subunit ribosomal RNA". The stretch from base 1 to 120 matches the Rfam family "5.8S ribosomal RNA", at positions 35 to 154 of the family's 154-position model. The record is from RNAcentral.